RNAcentral lists this ribosomal RNA (433 nucleotides) under uncultured bacterium. RNAcentral describes it as "partial 16S ribosomal RNA". It matches the Rfam family "Bacterial small subunit ribosomal RNA", at positions 29 to 507 of the family's 1533-position model. The record is from RNAcentral.
AACGAACGCUGGCGGCAUGCCUAACACAUGCAAGUCGAACGAGACCUUCGGGUCUAGUGGCGCACGGGUGCGUAACGCGUGGGAACCUGCCCUUAGGUUCGGAAUAACUCCCCGAAAGGGGUGCUAAUACCGGAUAAUGUCUUCGGACCAAAGAUUUAUCGCCUUUGGAUGGGCCCGCGUUGGAUUAGCUAGUUGGUAGGGUAAAAGCCUACCAAGGCGACGAUCCAUAGCUGGUCUGAGAGGAUGAUCAGCCACACUGGGACUGAGACACGGCCCAGACUCCUACGGGAGGCAGCAGUGGGGAAUAUUGGACAAUGGGCGAAAGCCUGAUCCAGCAAUGCCGCGUGAGUGAUGAAGGCCUUAGGGUUGUAAAGCUCUUUUACCCGGGAUGAUAAUGACAGUACCGGGAGAAUAAGCGCCGGCUAACUACGUG